RNAcentral lists this long non-coding RNA (787 nucleotides) under Phoenix dactylifera (date palm). Its description in RNAcentral is "long non-coding RNA (PDAC_LNC018262)". Lineage: Eukaryota; Viridiplantae; Streptophyta; Magnoliopsida; Arecales; Arecaceae. The record is from RNAcentral.
GUCUGAAAUAAUUCAAAGGAAUUGAAGAAGUAUAGCUUGCCCCUCUAUAAAAUGAAAUGUUAAAACUAAAUGGGUCCGGGUCGGUAAAAGACAGUAUGACUCAGCUAGGUUGAGCUCAGGUUGGGUUCAAGUCAAGCAUUCCUAACCUGCUAGCAACUCAUAUUGGAUAUCUCAUAGAAACGUGAUAUAUGGCCCUAACUUGAUGUAUUAUCAUCAUCUGUAAUCAUAUCUGUAAUCCUAGCUUUUGCAGUAAUAUUGUGAAACAUGGGUGGGGCGAUAUCUUGAUCAAACUUUCCAUGUCGUUCCGCAUGGAUACACGUCUGAUUCCCAAUUCUAUUUCUUCGUGUCGACUUUGCAUGUUGGUCUAGAUGCUUCAUAACACACUCUUGAGUCUAGGGGAUGGCAGUUCUCGCCCUACUACAGACACAGUAAAUUUGGAUCCAAAUAGGUUUGGGUCUUCAUAUCGGACCGAGAUGAAUCUGAAUCUGGUUAGCUUUAGCCAGACCACUAUGUAUUGCACAUGAGUGAUGUUUCAGUACAUGCACAGGUGCUGCUAUCAUACCAUGUGUCAUUGUAUACAGGUUACAAUAUUUGACAAAGUCCCUAAAAUUCAUGAAGACGAUUGCUAAUUCUCUUCUUAAUUCUGGUGGUCUAUGUUAGUUAUAUAGAUUUUCUUAAUGAUAGCUGACUCCAAAUUCAGGGAAGGGGAUAUUGGCUAGGUGUCAUAUGUAACUGCUCACAGCAGGAAAUGGAGCAGUGUUCAGUGGAUGGAUGCUGAAGUAUGUCC